This 2317-nucleotide long non-coding RNA is filed under the name Strigops habroptila (Kakapo). Its description in RNAcentral is "lncRNA (ENSSHBG00005007514.1)". The record is from RNAcentral. Lineage: Eukaryota; Metazoa; Chordata; Aves; Psittaciformes; Psittacidae.
CAAUGUUGCUUUUAAGUUUAUUGCAUUGUUAUAUUAAGCAUUUAUAUUUACAUACAAUUCUGAAUUAUUUAGCUACAAUAUACUGAAACUGUCGUGAUGAUUCAAUUAUUCAUUUAUAAAGACCUUCUAUCUUCAAACAAGAGUUAAACCCAGUUCUCUUACAGGUGGUUUUGGAAGAAAAAUAAUUACUGACUGAAAAUGCAUGCAAAAAACUACAGUAGUUAGGUUACUAACAUGUCUCUCCUGACUUUCUAACAUUCCCUCAAAACAUGAAUGCUAUACAUGUGUUGUAUGAAAAGUAGCUGGGAAUCUCACAAAAUCCCCAAAUGGUGAUAGAAGGGUGCUGAUUUUUGCUAUGUCAAGUCUGCAGUCAAAUACACAUGUGUAUGUGCAUAUAUACGCAUGUCUCUCAAUGUACACGCAUAUAUGUGCAUGUAUAGAGAAGUAUAUAUAAACACAUAUACACACUCACACACCAGAAAAUUCUAGAGGUAAAUAUGCAGGCUUACGAAUAAAACAAAAUACAAAGAUACGAGUAUGAAAUAGUCCUAAACAAAAACCGAUAAUAAAUAUUCAGUGAGAUAUAUGGCAUUAUUAUAAAGUGCUCUAAUAAAAUCUCACUUGUUAAAAUAACAAUAAAAAUUAUGUUCCUUUUAGUUGAUUUAUAUAAUUUGGUAGAGCCCUUAAAUAUUAUUAUGUAUCAGCGACUCUAUGCUUCCUUUUAAAUUUUAAACAAAUAGAUAAAAGCAGAAAUUACAAGGUGAAGCAGCUAAAUGAAGCAGUACUAUUGGAGCCUUCCAGGCUUUUGUCCUCAAAUUCAUUCGUGACUGCAAAAUUUUAAGCCCUAGAGUUUAUAGAUUAAGAAGUAUAAUUCCAAUUAAAAUUAUGAAACUAAACAAAAUCCGAUUUGAUCUUAAGGACAAUGAGAAAAUGAGAAGUUUCUAUCCUACUUUAAAAUAGAAAGGUUUGUAUUGCAGAAAUAACUGAAUGCCUUAUCCUGUGCACUCCCAUCCUCUUUCCUCAUGCAUGUGCAAUAUAGUUCCAAUGAAACCUAGUCUCUAGGUCUCAUUUCUCCCCAUUCCACCUAAUUUCAAAAGCAACCUGGCUCAUAUAUUACCAUAUCUUGUCCAGUCUGCUUCUACUCUUCUGAUUUUCAGCCAAACUCAUGAAAGAAUACAUCUACAAGAGUGUAAACAUUUUAAACAGCUUUAUGCCAUUUCUUCCAUACCACCAGAAGUUAAAGAGACAUGUGGUAGUAUUGAAAUAAAAACAACUUCAGGAAAUAAAGUGAAACAGUCCCACAACGUGAACCUGUCUCACUGAAUUAAUAAGAAAGCAAAAUAUCUUUUUAUGUUUUAGUGUAGCAAUUUUAGUUUUCUCUCCCCCCUCUUUUGCUGACAUUCCUUGUUACAAUUGCUUUACUCAACCAUAGCAACUUUUUGUGAUUUUCCCCAUGGUUUUAUGUAUAAACCUGUCUUCUGUAUCAGUAAAAAAAAAACCAAACCAACAACCCCUCACCACCACCCCAAACAACAAAACCGGCAAAUGGUUACUUUUAAUGUCUACUGGAAAGAGCACUAGAGACUAACGAUUCAGCUCUGAUAUCCCAGCUGAAUUAAACAGCAUGUAAAUUCAGUUUCCUUCAGGAAUAUGAUCUGGCCCUGAGAGGGCUCCCUUCUCUGUUGUGCAACUUUGCUGGCUUGACUUUCACCCCAUGCCAAGGGUCACCACCUCUUCCCUAUCUAUUCCUAUCAACACCAUCCCUACCCCUAUCCCUGCGUGGGACUUAGCUGGUGCACAGGUCUUGCACUGACUCUCUGUAUGGAGGCAAAAUCCGUAUCAAGCCACAGCAUUGGCUACAUCUCCUGGCUUGCAGUAAAUGCAUAACGACAGCAUUGUCUUUCUGCUCUCUUGCAAGAACUGAGAGAUACUGAGCUGCCUAACUCAAUAUUAUAUUAGUCAACAAUAUACUCCCUACAUCUGAAGGAAGAGAGACAAAUAGAACCUAAACUAAUAACAAAAUCGUAACAGCUGAGCAAGAAAGCAAGUUUUCGGUAUACUACCUGGCACACCACCAAUAUACAUAUUCAUGAGCUACAUGGUAAAGAAUGUACUCAGAGAAAAACAAUGUCCUCAGUUGCACUUCAGCAGUUUCCCUCAUUCAACACCAGAGUCUCACAUUCUGGAUAUAAAACUGUUGCCUGCAGAUUCAGUGCAAUUUCCCCUUUCCAAGGCACUUAAAACUAUCUAAAACUCGAACUGCGAACAUAAGAGUGUGACUCCCUGCCUCCUUAUUUUUAAGAUCUGCUCUGACAUU